This 424-nucleotide ribosomal RNA is filed under the name uncultured prokaryote. Its description in RNAcentral is "bacterial SSU rRNA". It matches the Rfam family "Bacterial small subunit ribosomal RNA", at positions 355 to 796 of the family's 1533-position model. The record is from RNAcentral.
UGGGGAAUAUUGGACAAUGGGCGAAAGCCUGAUCCAGCAAUGCCGCGUGAGUGAUGAAGGCCUUAGGGUUGUAAAGCUCUUUUACCAGGGAUGAUAAUGACAGUACCUGGAGAAUAAGCUCCGGCUAACUCCGUGCCAGCAGCCGCGGUAAUACGGAGGGAGCUAGCGUUGUUCGGAAUUACUGGGCGUAAAGCGCGCGUAGGCGGCUAUCCAAGUCAGGGGUGAAAUCCCGGGGCUCAACCCCGGAACUGCCCUUGAAACUAGGUAGCUAGAAUCCUGGAGAGGCGAGUGGAAUUCCGAGUGUAGAGGUGAAAUUCGUAGAUAUUCGGAAGAACACCAGUGGCGAAGGCGACUCGCUGGACAGGUAUUGACGCUGAGGUGCGAAAGCGUGGGGAGCAAACAGGAUUAGAUACCCCCGUAGUCC